UCACCUACGGGAGGCAGCAGUGGGGAAUAUUGCGCAAUGGGCGAAAGCCUGAACCAGCCAAGUCGCGUGAGGGAGUACUGCCCUAUGGGUUGUAAACCUCUUUUGUCGGGGAGCAAAAGCCGGACGUGUCCGGCUGUGAGAGUACCCGAAGAAAAAGCAUCGGCUAACUCCGUGCCAGCAGCCGCGGUAAUACGGAGGAUGCGAGCGUUAUCCGGAUUUAUUGGGUUUAAAGGGUGCGCAGGCGGAUUUUUAAGUCAGCGGUCAACUCGUGGGGCUCAACCCCAUCCAGCCGUUGAAACUGGGGG
RNAcentral lists this ribosomal RNA (305 nucleotides) under uncultured bacterium. RNAcentral describes it as "bacterial SSU rRNA". It matches the Rfam family "Bacterial small subunit ribosomal RNA", at positions 335 to 639 of the family's 1533-position model. The record is from RNAcentral.